RNAcentral lists this ribosomal RNA (253 nucleotides) under uncultured bacterium. Its description in RNAcentral is "partial 16S ribosomal RNA". It matches the Rfam family "Bacterial small subunit ribosomal RNA", at positions 524 to 776 of the family's 1533-position model. The record is from RNAcentral.
UACGGAGGAUCCGAGCGUUAUCCGGAUUUAUUGGGUUUAAAGGGUGCGUAGGUGGCCUGUUAAGUCAGGGGUGAAAGACGGUAGCCCAACUAUCGCAGUGCCCUUGAUACUGAUGGGCUUGAAUGAACUAGAGGUAGGCGGAAUGUGACAAGUAGCGGUGAAAUGCAUAGAUAUGUCACAGAACACCAAUUGCGAAGGCAGCUUACUAUGGUUUUAUUGACACUGAGGCACGAAAGCGUGGGGAUCAAACAGG